GAAAUGCGAUAAGUAAUGCGAAUUGCAGAAUUCCGUGAGUCAUCGAAUCUUUGAACGCACAUUGCGCCCGCCAGUAUUCUGGCGGGCAUGCCUGUCCGAGCGUCAUUUCCACCAUCAAGCCCUCCCGGGCUUGCGUUGGGUCCCUGCGGCUGCCCGCAGGCCCCGAAAGACAGUGGCGGGCUCGCUGGCACCACCGAGCGCAGUAGAAUGUCCUCGCUCUGGUCGUGCCGCGUGUCCCAGCCGUGAAACAACCCCCCUUCCACAAGGUUGACCUCGGAUCAGGUAGGAAUACCCGCUGAACUUAA
This 305-nucleotide unclassified non-coding RNA is filed under the name uncultured Sordariomycetes. RNAcentral describes it as "sequence contains ITS1". The stretch from base 1 to 105 matches the Rfam family "5.8S ribosomal RNA", at positions 50 to 154 of the family's 154-position model. Lineage: Eukaryota; Fungi; Ascomycota; Sordariomycetes. The record is from RNAcentral.